This 201-nucleotide long non-coding RNA is filed under the name Elaeis guineensis (African oil palm). Its description in RNAcentral is "long non-coding RNA (EGUI_LNC079313)". The record is from RNAcentral. Lineage: Eukaryota; Viridiplantae; Streptophyta; Magnoliopsida; Arecales; Arecaceae.
AGAAACAUCUUCUUCAUGUGUUGAACCAGAGAAAAUCAAGAUAAAAAUUGAUUUGGUAAUUGUUACUAACUUGUCUUGAUCAUAUUGUUAGAUCUAAUAGUUAGAUCUAAGAUUUCAGUAUCGAUAAGAUCGAUGUAUAUUUCUAUUUUUUCGAUCUAAAAUACAUCAUAUUUUAUACUUUUCUUCAUAGCAUGGUAGUCU